GAUGGGUAGAUGGAUGGAUGGAUGUAUUGGCCAACUGAAUGAUACCUUGAUUUAAGUGAGUAAGAACUGACAAGAGAGACAAUUCCUGACAAGAAUGUCCUUUUCUUAUUGCCAGCUUGUUUUGAAUUUGCCUAUGUGUGAAGAGUAGAUCCAGCACAUUUCCCAGAAUGCAGUCAUAGCAGAGCUGGCCUUAAGGAGUGGUCUAGUAUGAGUCAUAGCCUUCUUCCCAUAUCUGGAGCCAUAUAUUUAUAGCUAAUGCAGUGGGGUUUUUUAUUUGUUAAACUGCAAAAAAUAAAUGGUUUUAUGAAGGCCAAACAAAAGACUAAUGGAAAGGGCUUUAAUAAUUAAUUUUAAAGAAACUUACAAAUGACAGCUCAGCUAUGAAGUUUUAGCAACACUUAUGUUAAGGUUUUGAGUGGAAGAUGUAGCCCUUUAGGUCGUUUGGGGAUCCACUGAGGAUGGUGUGAUGACAAUCUCACUUCUUUUGUCCCCUGUUUCUCUUUGAAAUAGUUCACCACAUUCUUGGACAGAGGGUGCUAUUCACUUGAGAGCUACACGAUGGUGAGAGUCAACUAAGAGGUUAACGUGUUCUUUAUUGCAUAACACACUUUCGAAAUCACUCUUAAACGAUGUUUAGUUUCUUUUUAGCCUAGUUAGCACAUUAUUGUUCCCAGAUACUGACUACAGACCAGUGUCAAAAGAGCUGCUGGGUCUGUACAUUUUCCUUUCUUUAGGUAAUUCCAUUGAUGGGUCUUAGUGAAUCCCCUCAAAAAAGGAAGGAACACAAAUUACAAAACUGUUGCAAUUCCUCUACACAAGAGGCAAAGGAACUUAUAUUUAUUGAAUAUGUACUAUAUCCAAAACACCAUUAUUUGCUUUUUCAUGAAGUGCCUUAGUAAAUCUUCAUAGUUACCAUUUUUUAGAGGAAGAAAUAGUCUUGGGAGGUGAAGCAGUCUUCCCACCCACCACACAACAUGUGGACAGCUAAGGAUCAUUCCAGGUACAUGUAACACUAAGCCUCCAUUCUUUCAAUAAUAUUACUGUUACUGUUAUUAAUGUUACAUGUUUGAAAAACCAUGUUGUGAGAAAUCUUGCUGACAAAGUUAACUAUAUCACAAGAUGCAAAGAGAAGCACUCUAAGAUGUUCAUGUCCUCUCUGGCUCCCUCAUUCAUUCUCCUUUGGAGCAAGUAAGGAAACCUAUUUCUCCUACUGGCCCCUCCAUUGUUGUAUUCAAUGCCCAGAUUUAUGUUAAUUAAAUAAGAUUAUUUGCAUUGGGAUGGGAAUUUCAGACUUCACAAAAAAAAAUUGCAACAUUGUGUUUCUUCUCUGUUUGACUAAAAUUAAAAUCCGUUCAGGUUAGUGACUUACCCAAAGUCAUAUAGCUAAUUAAUAGGAAAGGGCUUUCAACUAAAUGUAGAAUUUGCUGACCACACAUACUGUUCCCAGUACAUCCACAAGUGAGAAUGUGUGCUUUGUUUGCUAAGGAUGGGAAAGGAUUUCACUCUUUCAUGUGCUGCUGCUUUUUUGCUUGAGAAAAGCUCAUCUCUCUAAGGCAUAAAAUGUAUUAGAUGUUCACAGUCCUCUCCGUAUCUUUGGUAAUUAAUUGAAUGUGAAGAUGUCAAUCUGCAUCUUAAACUAUUCCACAAAUGAGCACUGGGGGUAUAAGAAAGUGGUUAGAGUAUUAUGAUUCAUUCUCAAUUAUACGAAGGUCGGCCUCAGCACAGUGUAGAAAGGAGGAUUAGAAAUUCAGCUCUGAUGGGAGUCGAGGCUGCCAGCCUUUGCUGAGAUUUCUUAAGUGAUGUAGUUCUAUCAGCAACCUAGGCUCAGCUGUUUUCUAAAAGAUUCCAUAUAUGAAUAUGAAUAUAUAUUAAGAAAUUCAAGCAAAAGGAAGAAGAGUGACUUUCAAAUGAUUUACCCAUACUCACCAGAUGAAAUGGCAAAGCAGGAAGAACAUCUGAUUUGGGUUGCACAAGCUGGGAUCUACAUUUUUGAGUUUCGUUUUUAACUAAAUCCGGCAUUGUAGAACCACAGAAACCCGUUCAGUGAUUUAAGACAGGAUAUGAGGGCAGAGGAACUUGAUUCUGAGUACGAACUUCUGAAACAUAAACUAUCAGCAACAAAGAGAAGGCUUGGUGAAGGACACUUGGCAUUGCCACUCGUGAAAUGAGUUUAAGCUUUCAGCUUUUAGUGUUGUAGCUUUUGCCAUUUCAAGUAGUGCUGAAGAUGGCAGGAACAGUUGAACCUUUAAACCUAGCAUCCAUCAUCGUUCUCCAAGAUUAUUGAUUCUUUCCCAUCUCUGCGUUGCCUUUAAUACAAGCAGGCAUACUUGGUCUGAAUGUAAAGAAUCAUUCCUUAGUCUAAUCAUUUUUUCACAUUUAUAGGCAUUGGAUAAAAUAGCCACAGAAUGUUUUUCUUUUGAGUACUGAAAUUCUUCAUCAUUUGAGAUCAGUCUUCUCAUUUAGAAGGAGAAGAUAAAAAUCUCAAUAACCGUUAAGCCAAAUAAAUAAAUAAAUAGAUAGAUAAAUAAAUAGAUAAAUAAAUAACUGACAUGCUCUAUGGGACUAAUGAAAGAUACAAAAUGAGGAAAAUAAGCCCAGAACUUGCUGGUGCCUCUUCUGUCUUGGUAGUAUUUGCAAAGCUAAGAGAGCUGUCACAUUUUUUUAAAGUUAAUUUUUUAAUUGUUUCAUUUGUUUACAUCCAAAUGUUGCCUCUGUUCCCAGUUCCCACCCCCAUCCCCUUUCCCCUUUGCCUCUGAGAGGAUGCUCCUCCCACCCACCUCACCUGCCCCCACCACCCUUCCUUGGGGCAUCAAGUCUCUACAGCAUUAAGCACAUCUUAUCUCACUGAGACCACUAUGCUCUUGGACUGGUAGUUUAGUCUUUGGGAGCUCUGAGGGGUUUGGGUUUAAUUGAUACUUUGGUCUUCCUAUGAAGUUGCAAUCCCCUUCAGUUCCUUCAGUCCUAAUCCUAACUCUCUGAUAAGGGUCUCAGACAUCUGUCUCAGUCAGUUGCUGGUAGAGCUUCUCAGGGGACAGCCAUGCUAGGCUCCUGUCUGCAAGCCCAACAUGGCAUCAGUAAUUGGUGUCAGGAUUUGGUGCCCACCCAUGGGAUGGGUCCCAAGUUGAAUUGGUCACUGAAUGGCCUUUCCUUCAAUCUCUGCUCCAUUUUUGUCCUUGCAUUUAAAACAGGAACAAUUCUGGGUCAAAACUUUUGAAAAUACGUUGGUGACCCCAUCCCUCCACUGUGGCCCUGUCUAUCUACUGGAGGUGGUCUCCUCUGGUUUGAUCUCCCCACUGUUGGGCAUUUCAGCUAAGGUCAUCCCUAUUAAGUCCUUAGAGCUGCUCACAUUCCAGGUCUCUGGGACUUUCUAGGGGUUUCCUCCACACGCAUACCCGACUUCCUGCAGCUUCAUGUUUCCAUUUACUCUCCUGGCCCCCUGAGUGUCUUCCUAUCUCCUCCCAUAUCUGAUCCUGCCUCCUCAUUCCCCCUCCUGUCUCCCACAAGAUUCCUUCUUCCCUCUGCCCUCCCCCGUGAUUAUUUUUCCCCCUUCUAAGUGGGAUUGAAGCAUCCUCACUUGGGCCUUCCUGCUUGUUAAACUGCUUACUGUCUGUGAGUAAUAUCAUGGCUAUUCUGUACUUUUUGAAGGGGAAGACUCCAUUCGUGUUUCCUUUAUUGCUUCUAUUUCCAUUUUUAGGUUUUGGAUUGUUUUAUUCAUUUCUCUCACCUGUUUGAUUCUGUUUUCCUGUAUUUCCUUAAGAGAUUCAUUUAGAUCCUCUUUAAAGGUCUCUACAAUCUUCGUGAGAUUUAAGGCCAUUGUCUUGCUCUUCGCUUGUGUUAGGAUAUCCAGGGCUUGCUGUAGUAGGAGAGCUAGGUUCUGAUGGUGCCAUAUUGCACUGGCUUCUGUUCCUGUACUUGCCUUUUGCCAUUUGUUUGUCUUUUGUGAUGACUGGCCUGGUAGUCCAGGGGAGUAUAAACCCUCUGGGACUAGUUGUCCUGUAUAGCGGCAGGACUCUCAAAGGCAGACCAAGCUGUGGACUGGGGUAUAGGGUGCAGAUCCUUGAUUGCAGGUGGAGGGAGGUAUAAAACUGAAGGAAAGGUGGAGCUCCAAUAGGAAGGAGUAGAGCUCAAGGCUGCUAGGCUUGCUGGGGUCCCAGUAGGCAGAGGUAUUAGGGCAGGAGUGUUUCACCUACCUGUCCCAGGUUGGACCAGAUCUCCUGGGAGGCAGGCAGAACUGUGGGGUGUGGAAUGGUGUGCUGAUCCUCUAUUGCUGGUGCCAGCUCAUGCUGGCAAGGAUGUGGAGUAAUGAGAACUCUUCUCUAUUGCUGGUGGGAGUGCAAACUUACACAACCAAAUGUACUUGGCGGUUUCUCAGAAAAUAGGGAAGAGUUCUACCUCACUCCUGGGCAUAUAUCCUAAAGAUGCUCCAUCACACCCACAAGAGCACUUGUUCAACUAUGUUCAUGGCAGCUUUAUUUGUAACAGCCAGGAACUAGGAAAAACCUAGAUGUCUGUCAACUGAUGAAUGGAUAAAGAAAAUGUGGUUCAUUUGCAUAAUGGAAUUCUACUCUACUAUUAAAAACAAGGACAUCAUGCACUUUGCAAGCAAAUUGAUGGAACUAGAAAACAUGAUCCCAAGUGAGGUAACCCAGACCCAAAAGGACAUGCAUGGUAUGUAUUCACUUAUAAGUGGAUAGUAGCCAUACAAUACAAGAUAAUCAUGCUUAAUCCAGACCCAAAGAAGCUGAGGAAGAAGGAUCCCCGAAGGAAGAUGCUUGAACUUCACUGAGAAGGGGGAAAAUGUUAACGUGAUUCUUAUUGACUAACAUGUCCUUUCACCCAGUAUUCCACAAAGAUGCCUUGGCUUGGGGAAAGGAUGUUUUUAUGAUUGUUUUGUUUCUGCUCCAUGACUCUUCCAGAGAAAGAAAGACCCAAAUGUUUAACAAAGAAACUCAGGAUCAGGAGUCAACAAGUUGAGGUAUUAUUGUCACUUAUGUUCUGAGCAGGCCAGUAAAGAGGACCUUUCUAUCUUUUAGUUUUUUCCUCUGUCAGUCCAAUUAAUAGUACCUGUCUGACUGACUGUUUGGUUAUAAGCAUUGACAAGGAAACUAAAAUGUAUGGUAAAAUUAUGGUCUUGUUUAGAUAUAUUUUCUAAAAAUUAUUAAAUUUAUUUAUUUUUACUUUCUUUUUGAAAUUUUUUCAUUGAAAAAAAUCAUACAGUAUUUUAUCAUCACACCCUUUCCUUCCCUCAACUCUUCCCAGACCCUCCCUACCCAUCACCCCCAACCCUUUCUUUCUCUCUCUCUUGAAAACAGGUCAGAAAAGUAACAUAAACUAAACAAGAAAUUCUCUCUCAUACAUCAUCACUAGAAAAUAGAGAAGAAAAACAAAAAAGCCCACAAAAUCAAAAAAAGGAUAACGUAUAAGCAAAAGACCAAUAAGACAAAAGUGCCCAAACAAAGCAGUUAUGAAACUAGACAUUUUAUACUAUUUUAAUGUGAUGCUGCUAUAGGAGGAACUCAGUUCCCAGACAUGUGAAAACUUCUCUGGGAGUUGUUGAAAUAAGAAAAGAGGAGGGGGCUGGAGAAAUGGUUUAGCAGUUAAAGCACUGACUACUCUUCCAGAGGUCCUGAGUUCAGUUCGCAGCAACUAUGUGGUGGCUCACAACUAUCUGUAAUGAGUACCGGAUGCCCUCUUCUGGUGUGUCUGAAGACAGUAACAGUGUACUUAUAUACAUAAAAUAAAUAAUUCUUUAAAAAGGUUUAAAAAAUGAAAAAAGAAAAUAGGAUAGUUCAACAUUACAAAAAUGUAAAUAGUAGGGUGGGUCUCUAGAGUUAAAUUCUAUGGUGUUUAGGAGUGUGGGACUAACUCAGGAUUCAGUCAAGAAAAGCCUCUGUUUUCUGAUCUGGGCUAUGAGGCAGGCAGGAGCAGUUGGAAUGUGAAUACUCUGGAAAAUAAUCCAGUUUUUGAUGAAACACAUUGACCCCUAGGUGCCUCUUUUGGGUAGGAACACAGCAGCUGAAAACAGCCUUCCUGAGUUCAAAUCCCAGCUGUAACGGAACCUCCAUGUUUUAGUUCUUUCAUCCUUACCCUGAUAGAGACCUACAUCCUAGGACCUUUGGAAGGUGAAAAGGUUUAAUUAAUAGAAUGAGUUAUUAUGAGUAGCAUCAAGCAUCCAUAUAACACCUGAACAGAACUGGGUUUAGUAUAUAAAGAGCUAAAUAGAUGGGAUUUCCUGGGAACAGGCCUGGAGCUGUGGUGAAUCAUGACUAGCCAUCAGGUGAUAACAGGAGGAGCUUGUUGGCCUUACAACCUUUUCAAUCUUCUCAUUUUACAAAUCACUUUUUAAAAAAUAUUGGCCCAGCAAACCCAAUACAUUCGUACCUGUCUUCUUUCAUUUAGUCUAUCCUUGUAUUUGAUCACUUUAGGGGCCUAGGCCACUGAGACUGCUAAGAAUAUAAAAUUAUGUUUGACUCAUAUUCUAUAGUAGAAAAUAUUUGAUUCUAAUAUAUUUGGACAAAGUCACAUUAGAAUUAAUUUUAUCAAAAUCACUGAUCUUUGUGUCUGAAAUACAAAGUAUCUUCUUUAUAAAUCAGUAGGUCUCAACCUCUGGAUUAUAACCCCUUUUGAGGUUGGGGGGGUCAAAUGACUGUUUCACAGGGGUCACCUAAGAUUAUGGGAAAGCACAAACAUUUACUUUACAAUUCAAAACAGUAGCAAAAUUACAAUUACGAAGUGGCAAUGAAAUAAUUUUAUGGUUGGAGAGCACCACAACAUGAGAAACUGUUUUAAAGGGUCACAGCCAUAGGAAGGUUGCUAAGCAAACACCAGCGCUGUGAAGCAAACAGACAUAGUCAGGGCCUCUAGUCUGCAAGGAGGUGCAUGUAUUAAGAGAUCUUUCUGAGUUAAACAAUACCUAAAAUACCGUGGCUGUCAUGUGCACUGGUUACUUUGUGUAACUUAGCAGUGCUUAUCUAAGAGUUGUGAUUAUUUCUUUCAUACAUACUGUUAGCAACAGCACCCAUCUUUCAGAACAAGGCUCACCCAUGAAGAAUUAACGAAGCUCAGUACAUGGUCAGAAGUUUCUCAAAACUGACAUUUCUCGAUUUCCCACUAGACAUGAGCGCAAGCAACCAGUGGAUUUUUUUUUUAAAUGACCUAAAUACAGUCAAUGGUGACAAUAAGGAAUGGAGAAUUCUAUAGUUUUAACAUUCUAACUCAUUUUCAUCAAAGAAAAGCAUAAAGUCUGAGGCAGCCCUGGGGCUGAAUCCAGUUCCUUCUAGUUUCAGAUUGUCUGAUUUUGGGCAGGUGGCUAAGCUGCUGGAUCUUUGUUUUUCCAUUCGCAAAGCAGAGUUAAUGCUGGUGUCUGGUGAACUGGUAAAUGUUUAACAAUGAGUUGUCAGUGAGCAAGAAAACACACAUUUAUGGGGGUUGCUGACUUCUACAGUAUAAUUCCCAUUGUGGCUUCUUUCGAGCUACCAAUGGGAUGUCCCUGAACACAGAGCUGUGAAGCAGUGAGUGACAGGAGGAUAACACUUCUACCCAUGAGAGGCACUGAGCCUUAGUCAGCCCGGGAGACAAGAUAAUAGUCUAGGAAGCAGUGCAUAGUGAUUACUGCAUCUGUUCUCCAGAUGCAUUGAUAUGGUUUGCAUCUAAAAUGGCCCCUUAAAAGCUCACGAAUUGAAGGCUUUAUUCUCACCGCAGUAGUGUUCAGAGGGUUGACUAGAUCAUGAGAGUUCUGACUUCAUCAGUGGAUUAACUCAUUGAUCAGGUCAUAGCCUGCUGAGCUAUCAAGAGGUGGUAGAAAUUCUGGGGAUGGGGCCUAGUGAAGGAAGUAGGUUAUUAGUGGCACUUCCUUGAAGGAUGCAUUUAUUCUCCAGGUGUACCCCUUCCCCAGGUUCCAUGCAUUCUCUAUUCUAUGCUGCUUUGCCCCAAUAUAGGCCAAGAAACAACAGAGCCAAGAGACCAUGGGCUGAAACCUCUGCUACAGUGAGCCACGUUAAGUAUUUCCUCUUUGCAAAUUGAUUAUCUAAUUUUGUCAUAGUGGUGUGAGGCUACUACAGUUAUUUAGGUUUAUAUACUUUGAGGUUUUUUUUUUUUAUUAAUGGUAGUAUAUAUAAUCCUGCUCAAGAAAUUCAUGCAAAUUCAUGUUGGCUUCCUGGAGCUUUGUGACUAGUUCCCACAUACUGCUGCCUAUCUCCAGGUCUUGGAUUUCCUAACUACUAUAUGAUACAAACACCACAGAAUACAAGACUAGAAUGUGAUCAAGUGUCCUUUCUGAUUCUCCAGGAUGGCCUUCCAGUCUGCCUUCCAAUUAGCCGUGCAUAUGGAGUCCCACCUUUCUCCUGCUAAAGUAUCAGUGAUGGACAGGUAGUGCCACUGUUGCUGAUUGACGCUUGCUAUCCCAACUCUACCAAACUGGACCGCUGGUGUAUCCAUGAAGUGUUUGCGUGUGGAUCAAGCUGCCAUUGCCUGCCACCCUGUGAACUGAAUUGCCAAUUUCCAAACAACAUAGAUGGAAGUUGCUCCAAAGAAACUUUCUAAACAGGUAUACUCCCCCACAAAACCCAUAUCCUUUGGUAUACUCCCCCACAAAACCCAUAUCCUCUCUUCCACUACCUCUGGUGGGCUACAAGAGAGGUUACAGCAUUCAAGAACCAUCAUUAAAAGUAGGUUUUGAAAAACGUAUAGAUCUCAGUAAUGCAUUCUUUCUCUCCCUCAACUCUGGCCUUGCUCUCAGCCUACUUGUGUUGACCAGAAUUGGGGCUCAGCUCCAGCCUUCCUGCCUGAUGCAAGGACCAUGUCCUGGAGUGUGGGCUAUGGAUUAGAGGGAAAUAGUUCUCUGAGGCUGGUGUUAGGAGGAAAGGCUAAGGGACCCACACUGGACAGCAAUAACCACAGGCAACUCUUCAGAGGCCUACCACACACGAUAGAAGUGAGAUUGCCGGUGCAGAGCAAGACUGAGAGACUUGGUCAGAACACAAACUCUGUGCACAAUGGAGAUGCAAUUUUGUCUGACUCUCAAGACUGCUACUUUCCUACACCAAAGAAUGAGUGCAUGUCCUUGGCCUGGAAACUGCUACCUUUUAACCUUGUGGCCUCUUCUCUCUCUGAACCUUCAGCAAACUUACUACUAAACAAGACCUAUCAGAGCAGAUUACAAUAACAUCCAAACUUUCAUCAGCACCCAGUGUUCCUGCUUUUCUGCAUCUGCUGCAACUGAAAAGGGGCUGGAUAUAAAUGGCAUUCUCUCCCCGCUGAGGGUCCCUUCCAAUUGUUUCUUCAACUGCCUCUCGUCCUGCUCUAAUGAGUACCCUUUGGCUGGAGCAUUUAGUUCAUUUAAUAGCUCAAGUUCACUUCCUCCUCCUCCUGUUUCUCCCAGUCCUCACUGUUCCCUGCUUCAUUAUGAAGCAAACACUUCUUUCCACUAUAUUGACCCAAAUAUUUUUGUCAGUUUACUUGUGUCACUGAAAACCUAGUAUUUAUUCAGGCCAACCACAAAGACUGUGUUGUGAAGCUGUGGCUGUAGCUAGAUCACCUUUCAUUGGCAUGGAUUUUUUUUAAAUGCCAGUGUCUUUCAAAUAUAAUACAGGAUGGCAUAUCAUUUCAUUACCCUGACAAAUAGUCUGUGAUACUUUUAAUUCUUACUGAUUUUGUUACUCUGUAACAUUUACUGUGUAACUUUGGCAUUGUCAUUCCGUUGUUGUAAGGCUGUGUGGCUAUAGCUUUGGACUUUGUUUAUUUGAAGAUUUUUUUCUGUCAUCUCUACCAUGCACAUUUUAUAUUAAUCUUUUUUUAAAAUUAUUUGUAUAUGUGUGUUGGGGAUAUACACACGUAAGUAUACCUACUCCUCCAGGAGCCUAUGGAGUCCAGAAGAGGUUAAUAGCACCAGGAGAGCUGGAGUUACAUGUGAGCUGUUCAACACAAGCACUGAUUUUCUGCCAGCCGAGUACACACCCUUAACUACUGAGCCAUCACUCCAGCCCUUUCCUUUCUGUUCAAUUGCUUUAUAAAUGAUAAAAGUGUGUAUUGGUCCAUCUAACAAACCUUAUUUAACAACUGUUUGAAUGUCCUCUAUGAAUUACUUUCAGGUAUGGUAAAAUAUGUUUAUAAUUAUAUUAGAUAACAUUCUAAAUAUAAUACAUAAUAUUCAUAUACUAUGAUUAUGAUAAUAUAGACAAUAUCUGUAUGCACGUACCUCUCCUGACUAUUAGGAUAAUUUUCAUUUUCAUUCCAUGAAUUCUCACACUUAAGAUCACUAUAAUGAACAUUUUGGUAGCUCCUUGUAGUACUAUAUCAGUAAUCUUGUUUCUACACCAUCUUCAUCAUUUGUGAGAUAAAAUUUGAAAAUACAAAGCCACCCUAUGAAUAAGCUUUUGACUGUCUCUCCUUCCUAAUUUCUCAUCACUUCUCAACUUCACACUUUUUCAAUAACCACUCUAAUUAAAUAUAGUCAUUGUUUUUUAAAUUUAGAAUACCUUUAGAAUGAACAUGAAAUUGCUACUAUCCUGAACCGGUCUGCCUCCAUUUUGGGUUUGAAAGUCAUCUUACAAUAAAGACAAACUAUAUUCUUUCCUAUUAAUGAUAAAAUCUCUGUGUCUCAAAGAUUGUGCUAUGCCCGACCUGUAACCUUAACUACAAAUGGUUCUGUACUGCCUGUUCUGGGGAAACAGCAGCCAUGUCUUUCUUUCGAAAAGUUGUUAUUAACUUGCAAUUGUGCCUUUGUUUCAGGAGGUUGUUACCACAAUCUUGCAACCAUAAUUUGGUUUCAAAAGGUUAUUAUGACCAACUGUUGCUAUGACUACCUUAAUAUAUUUUGCUUCUGUAACCCCACCUAUUUGCCCACCAAUCCCCUAUUUGGAAACCCUGUACCCCUGACCAAUGCUGACCUCUUGAAUCCUGCUUUAGCACAGAGCCAGCCUGUGUACACACAAAUAAAAUAGGCUUACUUUAA
Molecule: non-coding RNA, 10951 nt
Organism: Rattus norvegicus (Norway rat)
Lineage: Eukaryota; Metazoa; Chordata; Mammalia; Rodentia; Muridae
Source: RefSeq, a predicted model, not a curated record